Molecule: transfer RNA, 499 nt
Filed under: uncultured Alteromonadaceae bacterium
Lineage: Bacteria; Pseudomonadati; Pseudomonadota; Gammaproteobacteria; Alteromonadales; Alteromonadaceae
Description: partial 16S-23S ribosomal RNA intergenic spacer
Rfam family: tRNA (bases 260-333)
Source: RNAcentral
CCUCCUUACCAUUACGUCGAAAGACGCACUUGAUGCAGUGCCUACACAGAUAGUCUUGUUUAAAAAAUAAAGAACGACAUAAGCUUAUGGGGCUAUAGCUCAGCUGGGAGAGCGCCUGCCUUGCACGCAGGAGGUCAGCAGUUCGAUCCUGCUUAGCUCCACCAUCUGCUUGUUUUACCCUAGGCUUGUAGCUUGGAUGGUUGCAGCCCUGCCCUCGAAUAAGAGCGGUGAGGUCACAACGCCGACUGGCUAAGAAAAUAGGCUUGUAGCUCAGCUGGUUAGAGCGCACCCCUGAUAAGGGUGAGGUCGGCAGUUCAAGUCUGCCCAAGCCUACCAAUUCUACUUGCUUGCGUUAUUUUGAACGCUGCGAUGCUCAGGUGCUAAAGCACAUUGCGCUUCUCGCAUUCAAACUAACUUUACCAAGCGAAUUGGUUGUGGUUUUACGUUACUGGCUUUGCAAGUGGUCGUGAAAAAGCCGCUUANCGGAAGCAGAGCUUCU